RNAcentral lists this unclassified non-coding RNA (221 nucleotides) under rhizosphere metagenome. RNAcentral's name for it is "partial ribosomal RNA internal transcribed spacer region". The record is from RNAcentral.
GAAUGAAUGUAGAGUUGGUUGUCGCUGGCCAUUUAUUUAGCAUGUGCACGCCUUCUCUUUCAUCCACACACACCUGUGCACCUGUGAGACGGAGAGCUAUCGCCCUUUUGCUAGGGUGUUUUUCUCCGUCUGCCAAUACACAAACUCAUAUAUAAUAAUUUGAAUGUAAUCUGAUGUAACGCAUCUAUAAACUAAGUUUCAACAACGGAUCUCUUGGCUCU